Molecule: unclassified non-coding RNA, 528 nt
Filed under: Hevea brasiliensis (rubber tree)
Lineage: Eukaryota; Viridiplantae; Streptophyta; Magnoliopsida; Malpighiales; Euphorbiaceae
Source: RNAcentral
CUCGGACUGAACUCGCAAAUUCUUUGUAUUGACGAUUUUCGAGGGUGGCCAGGGUUUCGUGACCGGUUCAAGUACAUUGACAUAGUAAACGGUGACGUCAUGCUGCUGUAUCAGUUCAUGCAAAAUGUAAUUUACAUGAAUGCCAGCAAAACGGUUUUACCGGUGCCGUUUUCAAGUGGGUCUGCUCUGGAGAAACUGUGCGAGUGGGGCGUGUAUGGAGACUUAAUUGAGAUAGACGCGGGUCAUGAUUUUAACUCGGCUUGGGCGGAUAUAAACCGAGCAUAUCGGAUCUUGAGACCCGGUGGGAUAAUAUUUGGACAUGAUUAUUUUACCGCCGCUGAUAAUAGAGGAGUAAGAAGAGCAGUGAAUUUGUUUGCUCAAAUGAAUGGGCUUGAAAUCCAAACGAAUGGUCAACAUUGGGUGAUCGAUUCCGCACAAGCUCCUUCCACUUAAUUAAUUACGUAAAUUUUAGCUGUCAUGUCAAUACUCACUUUUAUUGCUUUUUUUUUUCCCAAAAAUUAAUACCCG